GCACAAGCGGCGGAGCAUGCGGAUUAAUUCGAUGCAACGCGAAGAACCUUACCAAGGCUUGACAUACACCGGUAACGCCCAGAGAUGGGUGCCCCUUUGUGGUCGGUGGACAGGUGGUGCAUGGUUGUCGUCAGCUCGUGUCGUGAGAUGUUGGGUUAAGUCCCGCAACGAGCGCAACCCUCGUCCCAUGUUGCCAGCGGGUGAUGCCGGGGACUCAUGGGAGACUGCCGGGGUCAACUCGGAGGAAGGUGGGGAUGACGUCAAAUCAUCAUGCCCCUUAUGUCUUGGGCUUCACGCAUGCUACAAUGGCCGGUACAGAGGGUUGCGAUGCCGUGAGGCGGAGCGAAUCCCAAAAAGCCGGUCUCAGUUCGGAUUGGGGUCUGCAACUCGACCCCAUGAAGUCGGAGUCGCUAGUAAUCGCAGAUCAGCAACGCUGCGGUGAAUACGUUCCCGGGCCUU
This 459-nucleotide ribosomal RNA is filed under the name uncultured Isoptericola sp. RNAcentral describes it as "bacterial SSU rRNA". It matches the Rfam family "Bacterial small subunit ribosomal RNA", at positions 923 to 1382 of the family's 1533-position model. The record is from RNAcentral. Lineage: Bacteria; Bacillati; Actinomycetota; Actinomycetes; Micrococcales; Promicromonosporaceae.